UACGGAGGGUGCGAGCGUUGUUCGGAAUUAUUGGGCGUAAAGCGCGUGUAGGCGGUUUGUUAAGUCUGAUGUGAAAGCCCCGGGCUCAACCUGGGAAGUGCAUUGGAUACUGGCAGACUUGAAUACGGGAGAGGGCAGUGGAAUUCCUGGUGUAGGAGUGAAAUCCGUAGAUAUCAGGAGGAACACCGGUGGCGAAGGCGGCUGCCUGGACCGAUAUUGACGCUGAGACGCGAAAGCGUGGGUAGCAAACAGGAUUAGAUACCCUGGUAGUCCACGCCGUAAACGAUGAGUACUAGGUGUUGCGGGUAUUGACCCCUGCAGUGCCGCAGCUAACGCAUUAAGUACUCCGCCUGGGAAGUACGGUCGCAAGACUAAAACUCAAAGGAAUUGGCGG
This 394-nucleotide ribosomal RNA is filed under the name uncultured Geobacter sp. RNAcentral describes it as "bacterial SSU rRNA". It matches the Rfam family "Bacterial small subunit ribosomal RNA", at positions 524 to 916 of the family's 1533-position model. Lineage: Bacteria; Pseudomonadati; Thermodesulfobacteriota; Desulfuromonadia; Geobacterales; Geobacteraceae. The record is from RNAcentral.